This 497-nucleotide ribosomal RNA is filed under the name uncultured bacterium. Its description in RNAcentral is "partial 16S ribosomal RNA". It matches the Rfam family "Bacterial small subunit ribosomal RNA", at positions 28 to 507 of the family's 1533-position model. The record is from RNAcentral.
GAUGAACGCUGGCGGCGUGCCUAAUACAUGCAAGUUGAGCGAACAGAUAAGGAGCUUGCUCCUUUGACGUUAGCGGCGGACGGGUGAGUAACACGUGGGUAACCUACCUAUAAGACUGGAAUAACUCCGGGAAACCGGGGCUAAUGCCGGAUAACAUGUUGAACCGCAUGGUUCUACAGUGAAAGGCGGCUUUGCUGUCACUUAUAGAUGGACCCGCGCCGUAUUAGCUAGUUGGUGAGGUAACGGCUCACCAAGGCAACGAUACGUAGCCGACCUGAGAGGGUGAUCGGCCACACUGGAACUGAGACACGGUCCAGACUCCUACGGGAGGCAGCAGUAGGGAAUCUUCCGCAAUGGGCGAAAGCCUGACGGAGCAACGCCGCGUGAGUGAUGAAGGUCUUCGGAUCGUAAAACUCUGUUAUUAGGGAAGAACAAAUGCGUAAGUAACUGUGCGCGUCUUGACGGUACCUAAUCAGAAAGCCACGGCUAACUACGUG